GACGAACGCUGGCGGCGUGCUUAACACAUGCAAGUCGAACGAAGAGCGAUGGAAGCUUGCUUCUAUCAAUCUUAGUGGCGAACGGGUGAGUAACGCGUAAUCAACCUGCCCUUCAGAGGGGGACAACAGUCGGAAACGACUGCUAAUACCGCAUACGAUCUAAUCUCGGCAUCGAGGAUAGAUGAAAGGUGGCCUCUACAUGUAAGCUAUCACUGAAGGAGGGGAUUGCGUCUGAUUAGCUAGUUGGAGGGGUAACGGCCCACCAAGGCGAUGAUCAGUAGCCGGUCUGAGAGGAUGGACGGCCACAUUGGGACUGAGACACGGCCCAGACUCCUACGGGAGGCAGCAGCGGGGAAUCUUCCGCAAUGGACGGAAGUCUGACGGAGCAACGCCGCGUGAGUGAUGACGGCCUUCGGGCUGGAAAGCUCUGUUAAUCGGGACGAAAGGCCUUCUUGCGAAUAGUGAGAAGGAUUGACGGUACCGGAAUAGAAAGCCACGGCUAACUACGUG
This 510-nucleotide ribosomal RNA is filed under the name uncultured bacterium. RNAcentral describes it as "partial 16S ribosomal RNA". It matches the Rfam family "Bacterial small subunit ribosomal RNA", at positions 28 to 507 of the family's 1533-position model. The record is from RNAcentral.